This 476-nucleotide ribosomal RNA is filed under the name Vibrio cholerae. RNAcentral describes it as "bacterial SSU rRNA". It matches the Rfam family "Bacterial small subunit ribosomal RNA", at positions 554 to 1029 of the family's 1533-position model. The record is from RNAcentral. Lineage: Bacteria; Pseudomonadati; Pseudomonadota; Gammaproteobacteria; Vibrionales; Vibrionaceae.
CUGGGCGUAAAGCGCAUGCAGGUGGUUUGUUAAGUCAGAUGUGAAAGCCCUGGGCUCAACCUAGGAAUCGCAUUUGAAACUGACAAGCUAGAGUACUGUAGAGGGGGGUAGAAUUUCAGGUGUAGCGGUGAAAUGCGUAGAGAUCUGAAGGAAUACCGGUGGCGAAGGCGGCCCCCUGGACAGAUACUGACACUCAGAUGCGAAAGCGUGGGGAGCAAACAGGAUUAGAUACCCUGGUAGUCCACGCCGUAAACGAUGUCUACUUGGAGGUUGUGCCCUAGAGGCGUGGCUUUCGGAGCUAACGCGUUAAGUAGACCGCCUGGGGAGUACGGUCGCAAGAUUAAAACUCAAAUGAAUUGACGGGGGCCCGCACAAGCGGUGGAGCAUGUGGUUUAAUUCGAUGCAACGCGAAGAACCUUACCUACUCUUGACAUCCAGAGAAUCUAGCGGAGACGCUGGAGUGCCUUCGGGAGCUC